UUUCCGUAGGUGAACCUGCGGAAGGAUCAUUGUCGAAACCUGCCAAGCAGAACGACCCGCGAACUUGUAUAAACAACCGGGGGCGGGGGGCGUUCUCGCCCCGUGCCCCCGAACGGCGGGAUGACACUCGUGCCUUCUUGACGAACAACGAACCCCGGCGCGGUCGGCGCCAAGGAACUUCAACUAAAGAGUGCCUCCGGUCGCCUCGGAAACGGCGUGCGUGCAGGGGGGGAAUCUUGUGCAAAACCAUAACGACUCUCGGCAACGGAUAUCUCGGCUCUC
This 282-nucleotide unclassified non-coding RNA is filed under the name plant metagenome. RNAcentral's name for it is "partial contains small subunit ribosomal RNA, internal transcribed spacer 1, and 5.8S ribosomal RNA". The record is from RNAcentral.